Molecule: long non-coding RNA, 525 nt
Organism: Capra hircus (goat)
Lineage: Eukaryota; Metazoa; Chordata; Mammalia; Artiodactyla; Bovidae
Exons: 4
Source: RefSeq, a predicted model, not a curated record
UUCAUUUACAAAAGACUUUUAAAAAGUAAAUUUAUUUCACUGUGUUUUAUUCACACAGAAUUAUUCCCUAAUGGAUGUUCAGCCUUCAAGAAUAUUACUCCCAACACUGAUGAAGAAGGAGCAAUGAAAGAGGAUGCUGGAAUGUUGGAUGUCCAUUAUAGUGAAGAAGUUUUGCUGGAGUUGCUGGAACAUUGUGUGGAUGGCUUAUGGAAAGCAGAGCAUUACAAAGUAAUUUCUGAAAUUUCCAAGUUGAUCAUUUCAAUUUAUGAGAAUCGUCGAAAGUUUGAGAACCUUAAGUUUAUAGAACUCUUCAUGGAGCUUACACAUAAAUUUUGGAGGUUAUGCACGCAAAGAAAAGACUUUUAGGCACCUUCUUCAGAGUUGCCUUUUAUGGCCCAGACUCCCUUUGGUGUUUCAUAUGGGGCAAGCCUAGUGGUGUAAAAGCUGGCUUAAAACUCAGCAUUCAAAGAAUGAAGAUCAUGGCAUCCCGUCUCACUACUUCAUGGCAAAUUGAUGGGAAAACAA